AACGCGAAGAACCUUACCAAGGCUUGACAUGUUAUCGAUCACUGUAGAGAUACGGUUUCCCCUUUGGGGCGGGUUCACAGGUGGUGCAUGGUUGUCGUCAGCUCGUGUCGUGAGAUGUUGGGUUAAGUCCCGCAACGAGCGCAACCCUCGUUCCAUGUUGCCAGCACGUAAUGGUGGGGACUCAUGGGAGACUGCCGGGGUCAACUCGGAGGAAGGUGAGGACGACGUCAAAUCAUCAUGCCCCUUAUGUCUUGGGCUUCACGCAUGCUACAAUGGCCGGUACAAUGGGUUGCGAUACUGUGAGGUGGAGCUAAUCCCAAAAAGCCGGUCUCAGUUCGGAUUGGGGUCUGCAACUCGACCCCAUGAAGUCGGAGUCGCUAGUAAUCGCAGAUCAGCAACGCUGCGGUGAAUACGUUCCCGGGCCUUGUACACACCG
RNAcentral lists this ribosomal RNA (436 nucleotides) under uncultured bacterium. RNAcentral's name for it is "bacterial SSU rRNA". It matches the Rfam family "Bacterial small subunit ribosomal RNA", at positions 958 to 1392 of the family's 1533-position model. The record is from RNAcentral.